Bombyx mori (domestic silkworm) is the source of this 3390-nucleotide RNA transcript. It is a transcript of the gene named eukaryotic translation initiation factor 4A, with no coding region annotated. The record is from RefSeq and is marked provisional. The transcript has 8 exons. Lineage: Eukaryota; Metazoa; Arthropoda; Insecta; Lepidoptera; Bombycidae.
AGAUUAUUAGUGCUGUCAUAUUAAUAUCAAUGUCACCUGAUCUAAAAAAAAUCUUUCUUUCCUAUUACCCUCUGCUGUGGUGUAGUGCUCAAACCAAAUCCUUCCAUUUACAUCGGUCUUGGGCAGUUUGUUCUAGCUCCUCCCACGUCAUGCCCAAGACGCCCAGCUCCUGCUCCACCGAGCAACGCCAAGUUGUUUUGGGACGGCCUCUUUUCCUUUUGCCAGACACUUUCCAGGUCAGUGCUCUCUUGGAUGGAUGGGUUUUCUUAAUAUCUCUCCUUAUCCAUUGGCGUCUGCCUGAUGAUCCUCCACAGUUUUUUUUUAUUGCCCUUGUAAACAAAUGAGCAUACGGCCCACCUGAUGGUGAGUGAUUACCGUCGCCCAUGGACUUCAGCAAUGCCAGGGGCAAAGCCAAUUCACUGCUUACCGUAACCUUACAGCUAUUUGUUAGUGAUCGUCUCAGCCCAAAAGAUUUUCAAAAAAUUUAAAAACAACGAAAAUCAAAAUUUCAAUGUCAAUCAUUGGUAAAAUUACAAAAUCGUAAAUUACGGUAAUUUUUUUUACCGUAUAAGAGGUGGUAUGGUAGGUAGUAAAUCGAGCAAAAUCGAGCAAAAUUACGGCAUGUCUACCGUAAUUACGGUUAAAAUUGCUGCUAAAUAAAAAAAAAUAUAAAAAAUAUAGACAUCAACAGUAUUUGAACCAAACAAUUUGGAAACUAUUGGCAUGAUGUAUGUAAUCUACAAUUCUGAAAUGAUUUACUAAGACUUUGUACUUUUGUAAAAAACAAACACUAUUAUUGAUCACUAAAUAAUAGUGUUUUUUUUUAUUAAAAUACUAUUUCGAAUGAAUUUCCCUUUUCUUAUAUAAUUAUUUUUAUUAUUUAGAAUUAUUUAAGGAUAAGCACAGCCAUAAUUUACCUGAAUUAUUUUUGAGCUAAAAACGGUCACCUUUUCAAAGCUGAUUGGCCAUCUUUACCAACGUUGGGAACAAAACCAGUCAUUCUCAUCAGUGAAAAUUAAAGUGUGUCAUAUUCAGAUAUCUCAGUUAAAUAAAUGAUUUAAUUUACAAUAAUAAGUAUAUGUUGAUGAUCCAAAGGCUUUUUGGAUUAAUAUCUCUCAGGUUAAGCCUCAUGAACUCAUCUAGCCUUCUGUGCGUAGUUGGAAUUGCUCCUUAGAUUACUAACGAUUAGGUAGAAUAAAAAAAUAUCGAUUUUGAAUCACCGGUCACCGUUCUCGUCAAGCUCGCCAAUUACAACGAAGAGCUCGACGAGUGAACUAAUCCAUAGACACAGCCCUCUGAAUUUGUCGCGGGAUUAAAAGAAAGUGGGUUGCAAUUCCGAUCCGGUGGCGGAUUCUGCGAAUCACUGCUCUUGUUAGGGCUAGUGUUAGCGAAUUCUCUCAGGUUAAGCCCGUGAGCCACCACGAGUCACCUACCCAUCCGGACGUAGCUGGAAGAACCUCUUACGCUACCAGCGAAUAGUUAGGGGAAAAAAAUCAGUAGUAAACUGCUAUGAAGGCAGAAAUAGCUUAAAAAUCAAUACCGUCAAUUUUCGUAUUCUUAAAAAUGCUAAAAGCGAAAUUAACGCUUUUUUUUUUUAAAUAACUGAAAUACCCAUAGAACCUUUGUAAAACAAUCAAAUCUUUAAAUAUCUGGCAAAGGCGUUUUUUAAAUACCUUUUGAUUAAAUAUAUCUAUACCAAAAUUACAAGCUAGAAUGGCACAAACUUUUUGGUAUCUAUUGAAAAUACUUACAAUUGUCUAUGACUCACUUCCGGUACUAAAAUUCUCAAAUAAAAGUAUUUAGUCAUAGUUUGAAGAAUCUACACAUUACCGUUUCUUAAAUCAUUUUAAAAAUUAAAUAAAAAAUUAUUAAAUUUUUUGUCUACAAUAUAAAUUAGGACAAACAGUGUUCUGUAAAAUUUAUGUAAAAAGCUCCUGUUAGCUCAACUUGACCUUGCUAGUUCUUUUCCGUUCAGCUACUGCGGUUGAAACAUGUCUUAUUCGUCUGAAAGAAGGUCAGAAGAUUGGCCAGAGGAUUCCAAAAAUGGGCCAUCGAAGGAUCAAGGUAGUUACGAUGGACCUCCGGGAAUGGACCCUGGGACACUUGACACCGACUGGGAUCAAGUUGUCGAAACCUUCGAUGACAUGAACCUCAAAGAAGAAUUGUUGAGAGGCAUAUACGCCUAUGGUUUUGAAAAACCUUCUGCAAUCCAGCAACGCGCAAUAAUGCCUUGCAUCCAAGGACGCGAUGUUAUCGCUCAAGCCCAGUCAGGAACUGGAAAAACUGCUACUUUCUCUAUAUCGAUUCUACAACAAAUCGAUACAAGCAUUCGUGAAUGUCAAGCUUUGAUCCUGGCUCCCACAAGAGAGCUGGCCCAACAAAUUCAGAAGGUGGUGAUAGCUCUUGGUGAUCACUUGAAUGCUAAAUGCCAUGCUUGCAUUGGUGGCACCAAUGUCCGUGAAGAUAUUCGCCAACUGGAGAGUGGUGUUCAUGUGGUGGUGGGCACUCCAGGUCGUGUAUAUGAUAUGAUAACUCGUCGUGCGCUUCAUGCCAACACCAUCAAACUUUUUGUUCUUGAUGAAGCUGAUGAAAUGUUGUCCAGAGGUUUCAAGGACCAGAUCCAUGAUGUCUUCAAGAUGUUGUCAGCUGAUGUUCAAGUCAUAUUACUCUCUGCUACCAUGCCUGAUGAUGUAUUGGAAGUAUCUCGAUGCUUUAUGAGAGAUCCUGUACGCAUACUUGUACAGAAGGAAGAGCUUACCCUGGAAGGUAUUAAACAAUUUUACAUUGCAAUUGAAUUAGAAGAAUGGAAGCUGGAAACUCUGUGUGACCUGUAUGAUACACUGUCUAUUGCACAAGCUGUAAUUUUCUGCAACACCCGUCGCAAGGUGGAUUGGCUCACUGAAUCUAUGCAUCUGCGUGACUUUACUGUAUCUGCUAUGCAUGGAGACAUGGAUCAACGUGAGCGUGAAGUGAUCAUGAGGCAGUUUCGUACUGGCUCUUCUCGUGUCUUGAUCACCACUGAUUUAUUGGCACGUGGUAUUGAUGUACAGCAAGUUUCCUGCGUCAUCAACUAUGAUCUGCCAUCCAACCGUGAAAAUUAUAUUCACAGGAUUGGACGAGGUGGACGUUUUGGUCGUAAGGGAAUUGCUAUCAACUUUGUGACUGAAGCUGACAGGAGAGCACUGAAGGAUAUUGAGGACUUCUACCACACUAGUAUCGUUGAAAUGCCCAGUGAUGUGGCCAACCUCAUCUAAGGCGCCUACAUUUUUCCGAUUUAUAUUCUGUGUCCUGCGUUCUAUUGCGAUAUUUAUAAGAAGAUCUACCCACUGAGCCUGUGAAACGCACUUUGGAUACUUCUAUGUGGAAAUAAUAAAUCGAAAUUUCCUCUAA